This 253-nucleotide ribosomal RNA is filed under the name uncultured bacterium. RNAcentral's name for it is "partial 16S ribosomal RNA". It matches the Rfam family "Bacterial small subunit ribosomal RNA", at positions 524 to 776 of the family's 1533-position model. The record is from RNAcentral.
UACGGAGGGUGCAAGCGUUAUCCGGAUUCACUGGGUUUAAAGGGUGCGUAGGUGGGUUGGUAAGUCAGUGGUGAAAUCUCCAGGCUUAACUUGGAAACUGCCAUUGAUACUAUCAAUCUUGAAUACCGUGGAGGUCAGCGGAAUAUGUCAUGUAGCGGUGAAAUGCUUAGAUAUGACAUAGAACACCAAUGGCGAAGGCAGCUGGCUAGACGAAUAUUGACACUGAUGCACGAAAGCGUGGGGAGCAAACAGG